ACGAACGCUGGCGGCGUGCUUAACACAUGCAAGUCGAACGGAAAGGCCUGCUUUCCCCUGUGGAUUGCGGGUACUCGAGUGGCGAACGGGUGAGUAACACGUGAGUUAUCUGCCCCCAACUUGGGUAUAAGCCUGGGAAACUGGGUCUAAUUCCCGAUAGGACUGCAGGGUGGUGCCUGUGGUGGAAAACGAUUUUCUAGUGGUUGGGGAUGAGCUCGCGGCCUAUCAGCUUGUUGGUGGGGUAAUGGCCUACCAAGGCGGCGACGGGUAGCCGGCCUGAGAGGGUGGACGGCCACAUUGGGACUGAGAUACGGCCCAGACUCCUACGGGAGGCAGCAGUGGGGAAUAUUGCACAAUGGGCGGAAGCCUGAUGCAGCGACGCCGCGUGGGGGAUGACGGCCUUCGGGUUGUAAACUCCUUUCGACCGCGAGGAAGCCACCUGGUUGGAAGGGUGGUGACGGUAGUGGUAGAAGAAGCACCGGCUAACUACGUG
RNAcentral lists this ribosomal RNA (493 nucleotides) under uncultured bacterium. RNAcentral's name for it is "partial 16S ribosomal RNA". It matches the Rfam family "Bacterial small subunit ribosomal RNA", at positions 29 to 507 of the family's 1533-position model. The record is from RNAcentral.